Molecule: ribosomal RNA, 282 nt
Filed under: uncultured bacterium
Lineage: Bacteria
Description: partial 16S ribosomal RNA
Rfam family: Bacterial small subunit ribosomal RNA
Source: RNAcentral
GAUGAACGCUAGCGGGAGGCUUAAUACAUGCAAGUCGAGCGGUAAUUUAGGAAUAGCAAUAUUUCUGAGCUAGAGCGGCGCACGGGUGAGUAACGCGUACACGACCUGCCCUUUACUGGGGGAUAGCCUUGGGAAACUGAGAUUAAUACCCCAUGGUAUUAUUAUGCUGCAUGGUAUAAUAAUUAAAGCUGAGGCGGUAAAGGAUGGGUGUGCGUCUGAUUAGCUAGUUGGUAGGGUAACGGCCUACCAAGGCGAUGAUCAGUAGGGGGCGUGAGAGCGUGA